This 386-nucleotide unclassified non-coding RNA is filed under the name Phygelius capensis. RNAcentral describes it as "partial external transcribed spacer". The record is from RNAcentral. Lineage: Eukaryota; Viridiplantae; Streptophyta; Magnoliopsida; Lamiales; Scrophulariaceae.
GUUGGCGUGUAUUGGCAUGUUGGAUCCCUGCUCGGGCAGCGACGACAUCUCAUGCAAGCCUCUUCAUUCCUCGGCCCAAGUGCUUGCUUGCCUUGGCCGGCGUCGGGUUUCCUGUGCUGAAUACCUAUAGCGAGGGCAAUCGGUUGGCUACAACGUCCCACUUCCGCCUUGUGCUGCGCCUCUCGGGGCCGCGGCGCGGGKUGGACCUCAAAGCAUUCGCCGUGUACCACGUCCCGUGCUAGUGCCUCGCACAUGCUCGGGUUGUCGGCCCAUGGCGUCUYGCUCGAUCUCUCGGAUGCGGAAUAGUGAGUGGGCACGRGGCCCUCGGCCUCUAUUUGCCCCGAAACAAGCGUUCUACGCUUCGUGCGAACGACUGUCGAUUCCGU